GCCUGGGUGGCUCAGUUGGUUGAGCAUCCGACUUCAGCUCAGGUCAUGAUCUCGCAGUUCGUGAGUUCAAGCCCCGCCUCGGGCU
This 85-nucleotide transfer RNA is filed under the name Felis catus (domestic cat). It matches the Rfam family "tRNA". From Rfam's summary of the family: Transfer RNA (tRNA) molecules are approximately 80 nucleotides in length. Their secondary structure includes four short double-helical elements and three loops (D, anti-codon, and T loops). Further hydrogen bonds mediate the characteristic L-shaped molecular structure. tRNAs have two regions of fundamental functional importance: the anti-codon, which is responsible for specific mRNA codon recognition, and the 3' end, to which the tRNAs corresponding amino acid is attached (by aminoacyl-tRNA synthetases). tRNAs cope with the degeneracy of the genetic code in two manners: having more than one tRNA (with a specific anti-codon) for a particular amino acid; and 'wobble' base-pairing, i.e. permitting non-standard base-pairing at the 3rd anti-codon position. Lineage: Eukaryota; Metazoa; Chordata; Mammalia; Carnivora; Felidae. The record is from Rfam by way of RNAcentral.